UCCCUCUUAGCUCAGUUGGUAAAUCAUCUGCCUGCAAUGCAGGAGACCCAGGUUUGAUUCCUGGGUAGGGAA
This 72-nucleotide transfer RNA is filed under the name Bos taurus (domestic cattle). It matches the Rfam family "tRNA". Rfam says of the family: Transfer RNA (tRNA) molecules are approximately 80 nucleotides in length. Their secondary structure includes four short double-helical elements and three loops (D, anti-codon, and T loops). Further hydrogen bonds mediate the characteristic L-shaped molecular structure. tRNAs have two regions of fundamental functional importance: the anti-codon, which is responsible for specific mRNA codon recognition, and the 3' end, to which the tRNAs corresponding amino acid is attached (by aminoacyl-tRNA synthetases). tRNAs cope with the degeneracy of the genetic code in two manners: having more than one tRNA (with a specific anti-codon) for a particular amino acid; and 'wobble' base-pairing, i.e. permitting non-standard base-pairing at the 3rd anti-codon position. RNAcentral also lists the same sequence under 2 other names. The record is from Rfam by way of RNAcentral. Lineage: Eukaryota; Metazoa; Chordata; Mammalia; Artiodactyla; Bovidae.